AGUGAACGCUAGCGGUAGGCCUAACACAUGCAAGUCGAACGGCAGCACAGUAAGAGCUUGCUCUUACGGGUGGCGAGUGGCGGACGGGUGAGGAAUACAUCGGAAUCUACUUUUUCGUGGGGGAUAACGUAGGGAAACUUACGCUAAUACCGCAUACGACCUACGGGUGAAAGCAGGGGAUCUUCGGACCUUGCGCGAUUGAAUGAGCCGAUGUCGGAUUAGCUAGUUGGCGGGGUAAAGGCCCACCAAGGCGACGAUCCGUAGCUGGUCUGAGAGGAUGAUCAGCCACACUGGAACUGAGACACGGUCCAGACUCCUACGGGAGGCAGCAGUGGGGAAUAUUGGACAAUGGGCGAAAGCCUGAUCCAGCCAUGCCGCGUGUGUGAAGAAGGCCUUCGGGUUGUAAAGCCCUUUUGUUGGGAAAGAAAAGCAGCAGGUUAAUACCACGCUGUGCUGACGGUACCCAAAGAAUAAGCACCGGCUAACUUCGUG
Molecule: ribosomal RNA, 492 nt
Filed under: uncultured bacterium
Lineage: Bacteria
Description: partial 16S ribosomal RNA
Rfam family: Bacterial small subunit ribosomal RNA
Source: RNAcentral